This 383-nucleotide ribosomal RNA is filed under the name uncultured eukaryote. RNAcentral describes it as "partial 18S ribosomal RNA". It matches the Rfam family "Eukaryotic small subunit ribosomal RNA", at positions 592 to 976 of the family's 1831-position model. The record is from RNAcentral.
CAAUAGCGUAUAUUAAAGUUGUUGCAGUUAAGAAGCUCGUAGUUGGAUUUCUGGUGGGAGCGAUCGGUCUGGCGCUUAGCGCGAGUACUUGCAUCGUCUCCGGCCAUCCUUGGGGAGAGUCUGUCUGGCAUUAAGUUGUCGGGCAGAGGAUCCUCAUCGUUUACUGUGAAAAAAUUAGAGUGUUCAAAACAGGCUUAUGCCGUUGAAUAUAUUAGCAUGGAAUAAUAAGAUAGGACUUUGGUACUAUUUUGUUGGUUUGCGCGCCAAAGUAAUGAUUAAUAGGGACAGUUGGGGGUAUUCGUAUUCCGUUGUCAGAGGUGAAAUUCUUGGAUUUACGGAAGACGAACUACUGCGAAAGCAUUUACCAAGGAUGUUUUCAUUAA